UGGGGACCGCGCCUGCAAAGUACUUUCUAUUUAACUUUUUUUUAAAAAAAGUUUUUUGUUUGCUUAAUUUAUAAACCAUCCGUUAUUUACAAAGGGAUUUGGGGUGGGGGACGGGUGGGACGUCUUGGUUUUUUUUUUUUUUUUUUACACACUGCCGCAGUAGCUGCAGAAGAGAAAAAAAAAGAAAUUCCGGGGCCUUCGGAAGACCGUCUCUAGGGAGGGAUGCGGUGGCCUAUGGCUAGCUAUAGAAGAAGACCUCUGUGUCCAAAUCAGGGGCAUUCUGACAUAGCCAAUAAAAUGGUGCUUCUGUAACCAGGACUGUAUGUGAAUUGUAGCACACUGACAGAUGUUCGGCUGUUCGACUGACUCCUUCACACUUCGCACCUCCAAAGCCGGCUAUGCACUGUAGUAGCUGUCAUUUUGAGACUCAGUGACAUAACCACAAAGAACAGGAGGCCCCUGGAAAGAUCCAACAUUAACCCUAGGAAAUACGCAAAGAUAUCAUUUUGGGUCUUCCAACUCUUCACAGCAGGAUUGCAAGGUCCACUAAAAUGCAAUGUGUAUGUGUCUCCUAGGUUGUACACCGGCCCACUCGAGGAUAAAAAUGCUGAGCAAAACAAUGUUGAAAUGCUUAGAUUUUGUCUUGACUCCACAAAACGGCAAACAUGGUCAAACUGCAUUGUUCUCCCUCUACACUACACUGUGUUUGUAAAAUGUGUGACCCACCACACUGAGCCUGAAUUUUGCACACCCACAGGCAACCCCACCCACAGGACGAUCCCUUCCACACUGUAACCACCAAACCUGGUCUGUGGUCUAUCUGAGCUUUCUGAGUUAUGAGCUGGACAGACCUGCCUUAAACAAAGCUCUGGUUAGUGCCUGCAUUUGCUGCAGAAUGGCAUUAAUUGUGUUAGUGUGGUCUUUCUUUUACAAUAUAUAAAAGACAAAAUAACAUUUAGCUUACAUGAUGGACAUCAGUUGCAAUCUUUAAAAUUUCUUUGACAAUUCACCUUUUUAUAUUUCCUUUUUUUAAAAAACCCACUGCAUGCAGCUUUGCAUUCUAGCAAAGGUUUUUAAAGGAAGAGGUGACCUGUGUUCCUCCAAAGGGUAUUGGACUCCAGGUCCCAUCAGCUCUAACCACUGUAGCCAAAGGGGGAAGGAAUGAUGGGACUUAACACUCCAUACCUUCAGGACCACCUGUGUCCUAACCCUGUUCUAAACUGGCAAAUAAUACUUUGUCUUUUACUUUUCAAGUUUCAUUUCCUGCAGUCUAGAAGUAUAUGUAUAUAAUAACCGUGUGAUUAUGUCAUAAUCUCAAAGUUUAAACUUUGGCUUUGUGAUUUGUAAUAAUGACAACGAAAUUUAAGCUGUACAAUUUACUGGAUGCUAGCAGCAGAACGGUGGCAGCUGCGAAGAUAUGUAUGGAGAUUAUUAAGUAUUGUAGAUUUUUAUACAUAAAAUAUAUAUAUG
RNAcentral lists this long non-coding RNA (1470 nucleotides) under Notechis scutatus (mainland tiger snake). RNAcentral's name for it is "lncRNA (ENSNSUG00000003247.1)". Lineage: Eukaryota; Metazoa; Chordata; Lepidosauria; Squamata; Elapidae. The record is from RNAcentral.